Molecule: ribosomal RNA, 460 nt
Filed under: Temnopleurus toreumaticus
Lineage: Eukaryota; Metazoa; Echinodermata; Echinoidea; Temnopleuroida; Temnopleuridae
Description: partial 16S ribosomal RNA
Rfam family: Bacterial large subunit ribosomal RNA
Source: RNAcentral
CGGUAUCUUGACCGUGCAAAGGUAGCAUAAUCACUUGUCUCCUAAAUAGAGACUGGUAUGAAUGGCAAGACGGAGCUAGACUGUCUCUUUUUUUAACCCUGAAAUUUACUUCUACGUGAAGAGGCGUAGAUAAAAUCGCUAGACGAGAAGACCCUGUCGAGCUUAAAGUAAAACGUAAGACCCCCAAAAAGUUAAACAAUACUAAUCAAUAAAUUUACAAAACUUAGACUACAGCGUUCUUACGAAAAGCUUUGGUUGGGGCAACCGCGGAAAAAGAAAAUCUUCCGUUAACUAAAAAUUUAACAAAGGAAUACCCUCCUAAUAUCAGAAAUGAAAGCAUGAUCCACUUAGGUGAUCAAAGGAACAAGUUACCGCAGGGAUAACAGCGUUAUCUUUUUUGAGAGUUCACAUUGACAAAAAGGUUUGCGACCUCGAUGUUGGAUCGGGACAUCCCAAGGGU